This is a long non-coding RNA of Rhagoletis zephyria (snowberry fruit fly), 437 nucleotides long. RefSeq lists it as uncharacterized. The record is from RefSeq and is a predicted model, not a curated record. NCBI's taxonomy places the organism in Eukaryota, Metazoa, Arthropoda, Insecta, Diptera, Tephritidae.
ACAGUUUUCAACUAUCGAUACUAUCGAUAGUAUCCCAGCUCUAACACUUUCCCGAACUGCGGUAAAAUCUAAGUAUCUGGCGUACUGGCCACCUAAACAGCUCUAACUAAACCAACUUCAGUAAAACACUAUACAAGCUGUCUAAUUACCAGGAUGAAAACAACAUACAUAUGUAUAUAUUAAGAUGAGCCGACGCCAACUGGCACUAGCAAAAACGUUCAAUUUCAUUUGAGAAUUAUAAGAGUUUAAAAAAUGAAUCAGUAAAAGAGAGCUAACUACAAUGAAAAAAAUUUCAACAACAAUGCAACAAUACGAAAUAAAAACAAAAGUUUUACUCACCUUACCAUCAACACUGAUUCAAAUCAAAAUAUGCCUUUAAUUAAUUUAACUCUAACUGCCAAAAGACCGAUAACUCGAAAUGUUGUAAUGAUGUAGUG